Long non-coding RNA from Lepidothrix coronata (blue-crowned manakin), 787 nucleotides. RefSeq lists it as uncharacterized. The transcript is spliced from 3 exons. Lineage: Eukaryota; Metazoa; Chordata; Aves; Passeriformes; Pipridae. The record is from RefSeq and is a predicted model, not a curated record.
CCGCGCCGCGAGCAGGGGCUCCCCCGGCGCCGUCGCCGCUCCGGGGCCGCACCUUCUCCUUCUUCAGCUUGUAGGGCAUGGGACUUAAACCUGAAAAACAUUCUCCUGGACAGUGAGGACAACAUGAAGGUCUCCAUCUCCAGAUUUUUCCAGAAGGGUGGUCCUGCAGGAUGUCAGUGGGGAGUCUCUUGGGACCUCUGCACAUCCAAAGCUGCCCACCAAGGCAGUGCUGAGCCAGACCUUCUGCCAAUCCUAUGCUUAUACCUGUCCUGCGAUCCUGCAGGAGAAGCCCUGUGACCUCUUCCUGGAAAACACAUGGAGUGCUGAAGUCAUCCUCUGCACCUUGCUCCGGGACUACAUAUAUUGUGAUGCCACCAACCUGUGGCACGUCCUGCACCAGACCCAGACGUCUCCUGUCUUCCCUCAAAGCACCUCUCAGCUGCUGAGCUGCUCCAGGUCCACUGGGUCUCUUGGUUCCUGCUCCUAGAGCACCUGCCUUUGGGCACCUAGGCUGCCAAGCAACCAUUUUGGUUUUGGAAGGGAUUUUACCAGAAAGCCCUUUUGCAGUUUUGAGGCCCCCUCAACUUCAGGGGGCUGCUAAUAAAAGCCUUGAACCUUCUCUCGCCUCCUGUUGUCCUGGCAACCCUCCCACAGAAAGCCCCUGCAAGAGACCUUGCCAAAUCCAUGGUAGCAUCGCCCUCCAGCCCACAAAGGAGCCUCCCCAUCUGGGGACAUCUCUCCAUUCAAAGCUUCUCUGUGACUGCAGGACCUUCCAGGCCCCAGGAAU